RNAcentral lists this ribosomal RNA (253 nucleotides) under uncultured bacterium. RNAcentral's name for it is "partial 16S ribosomal RNA". It matches the Rfam family "Bacterial small subunit ribosomal RNA", at positions 524 to 776 of the family's 1533-position model. The record is from RNAcentral.
GACGUAGGGCGCGAGCGUUGUCCGGAUUUAUUGGGCGUAAAGAGCUCGUAGGCGGCUUGUUGCGUCGACUGUGAAAACCCGCGGCUUAACUGCGGGCUUGCAGUUGAUACGGGCAGGCUAGAGUUCGGUAGGGGAGACUGGAAUUCCAGGUGUAGCGGUGAAAUGCGUAGAUAUCUGGAGGAACACCGGUGGCGAAGGCGGCAUCCUGGACCGAGAUUGACGCUGAGGCGCGAAAGCCAGGGGAGCAAACAGG